UUUUUUUUUUUUUUUAGGAUUUUAUUUAUGUAUGUGAAGUGGGGAGGGGCAGAGGGAGAGGGAGAGGGAGAACCUCAAACAAGACUCCCUACUGAGUGUGGAGCCCAAUUCAUGGCUUGAACCCAGGACCCUGAGAUCAGGACCUGAGCCAAACCCGAGAGUUGGAUGUUCAACUGACUGAGCCACCCAGGCACCUUUUUUUUUUUUUUUGGAUUUACUUACUGAAUUGAAAGAGAGAGAGAGAGAAUAGAGGGAGGGGCAGAGGGAGAGGAAGAGAGAAACUCAAGCAGACUGUGCUGAGCAUGGGGUCUAAAGUGGGGCUCGACAAUGGGGCUUGAUCCCACGACUCCAAGGUCAGACUUGAACCUAAAUCAAGAGUCGGCUGCUUAGCUAACAGUGUCACCCAGGUGCCCCAAUAGUUGUACUUCUUUAUAUCAGUAGUAUCUCAGAUAAGAUGAAGAAAGUGAUGGCUCAGCAAAUUUAGGCUUUCUCUGAAGGUGACCCUGGGAUUUAGAAACAGAGCUAGGAUGAGAACCCUGAUCUUACUCCCAGUGUGUGACUGUGCUCCUGACUAUGCUCCCUUUUCUUUCUUAAUAAUCCCGCAUGUCAAAAACUUCAUAUACUUCAUGGUAAGAUUGCUUUUCUCUUUCAGGUACAGUAACUCCAUUUCAGGAUUGGGAAAAGAGCACUUAGGAAACCUGAAGAAUUUAUGAUCAGUGUGGGAUACAGAAUCUUUCACUGUUGAUCCGAGUUCUGUAAAAGCAAGAGGACUCCUGAUGGGAAUCUGGAAUCCACCUGAUACAGAGGAAGUGUUGUGGAAUGACCAACUGGAAGAAGUCAGCUUGACCUCUGGAAUACUAAGAUAUGAAGGAAAAGAAGUCCUCAGCAAAGAAACACCAGCGUUUGCCUUAACAGCAGGGAGGACAAGAAGGACAUUUGUAGCAAGAGAGAAAUUCCUCCAAUUGGAGUCAAGAGAAACAAAGGAGGAAUGAAGCAAAAGGAGAGGUCAGAAGAUUCAGAGUGAGAAGGAUUUUAUCUACCACUGCUUUUUUGAAGAUAAAGAAAGAAGUCCAUCAGGCCAGGAAGUACAGGCAACCCCUGGAAGCUAACUGACUGCAACCAAUAGCUAGCAUGGAAACAGAAAUCUCCAUCCUAUAACCACGUAAAACUGAAUUGCGCCAAUAACCUGAAGGAGCUUGAAAGUGGAUUUAACCCAGAACCUCUAGAAAGGAGUUCAACCCUGCCAAUACCUUGAUUUUGGCUCCAUGGAACCAGAAACAGAGAAUCAUCUGAGUCGUAUUGUGCCCAGACUUCUGACCUACAGAAGAACCAUAAGAUAAUAAAUCUGCAUUGUGUAAGGACACUAAAUUUAUGGUAUUUGUUACUAAAACAAUAAAAAAAUGAAUAUAACAUCCAUUUUACAAUAUCAAAUCUAGGAAAUCGAUAUUGGCACAGCAUAUGUGUAUAGUUCUAUGACAUUUUAGCAUAUGUAAAUUUAUGGAACCACCGAUGCAAUAAAGAUAUCAUUACAAAGAUCUCCCUCACAUUACCCUUUUAUAGUCACAUUUCCUUUACCUGAUCCAUUCCUAAUCCUUGGCAUCUACUUAUCUCUUCUUCUGCUCUAUAAUUUUUAAAUUUUUAAAAAUGUUAUAUAAACAGAAUCACAUGUAUGUGACUGAAGAUGGUCUCCCCCCCCGCAACGGAGCAUUAUGCCCUUAAUAACCAUCUAAAUUGUUACACGUAUCCAUUUUUUCUUUUCUUUUCCUUUUCUUCCUGUGAUAUAAAACAUGCAACAUAAACCUAAAUGCAACCAUCAUAACUAUUUUUAAGUGUAGAGUUCAGUAAUGUUAAGUAUAUUCUCAUUGUUGUGAAAGAGAUCUAUUAAACUUUUCAUCUUGUCUUGCAAAUCUGAAACUUUAUACCCAUCAAUUAACAAUUUCCUCCCCCUCCCCAGCCCCAUUUUACUUUCUAUUUCCAUGAAUUCGACUCAUUUGGUACCUUAUAUAAAUCGAAUCAUGCAAUGUUUGCCUUUUGUGACUAGCUUAUCUAAGCAUGAUGUCCUCAAGUUUCCUCCAUGUUGUAUUUUUUAUUUUGAGUACUAUUUUAUUUUUAUUCAUUCAUACUAUGAAUACACCACAGUUUGUUUAGCCAUUCACCCAUCAAAGGACAUUUUGGAUGUUUCCAGGUUUCAGCUAUCACAAAUACAACUGAUACAAAUAUUUGUGUACAAGCUUUUGUGUGGACAUAAGUUUUUAUUUCUUUGGGAUAAAUGUCCAACAGUGCAAUUGCUAGGUCAGAUGGUAAAUGAAUGAAUGUUUUAUUUAAAAAAAAAUUUUUUUAAAAUUUUUUAAGAUGCUUAUUUAUUUAUUCAUGAGAGACACAGCAAGAGAGAGGCAGAGACACAGGCAGAGGUAGAAGCAGGCUCCCUGCGGGGAGUCCGAUGUGGGACUCGAUCCCGGAUCCCAGGAUGACGCCCUGGGCUGAAGGCAGAUGCUAAACCACUGAGCCACCCAGGCAUCCCUGAAUGAAUGUUUUAAAGAAACAAACUAUUUUCCAGAGUAGUUUACAUUUUACAUUCCUACCAGCAAUGUGUGAGGAAUCCAGUAUCUCCACAAAAAUUAGUAUUUUCACUUAAAAAAAUCUUCAGCUGUUCUCAUGGAUGUGUAGUGAUAGUGCAUUGUGAUCUUGUGAUCUUAUUUACAUUUCCCUAGUGGCUAGUGAUAUUGAACAUCUUUUCAUGUGGUUAUUUGCCAUCUGUACAUAUUCUUUGAUGAAAUGCUUCAUCAUGUCUUUUGCCCAUUUUCUAAUUUGAUUAUAUGCUUUUUGUUGUUGUUUGCCAUCAAUUUUUUAUAGUUCCUUAAAUGUUCUAGAUAUAGUUCUUUGUGAGAUAUGUGGUUUGCAUAUAUUUUUUCCUAGUCUUUAGUUUGCUAUUUCAAACUCUUAACAGGGUAUUUCCAGAACAAAAUUUUAGUUUUACUGAAGUCUAAUUUAUCAAUAUUUUCUUUAUGAGUUGUACUUUUGAUUUCAUGUCCAAGAAAUCCUCACAAAAGGUCCUAAAAUUUUUCUCUUAUACUAUGUUCUAAAAGUCUAUUGUGGGAUCCCUGGGUGGCUCAGUAGUUUAGCGCCUGCCUUUGGCCCAGGGCAUGAUCCUGGAGUCCCAGGAUCAAGUCCCGCAUUGGGCUCCCUGCAUGGAGUCUGCUUCUCCCUCUGCCUGUGUCUCUGCCUCUCUCUCUCUCUCUCUGUCUCUCAUGAGUAAAUAAAUAAAUAAUCUAAAAAAA
Molecule: long non-coding RNA, 3278 nt
Filed under: Canis lupus familiaris (dog)
Lineage: Eukaryota; Metazoa; Chordata; Mammalia; Carnivora; Canidae
Description: lncRNA (ENSCAFG00000059220.1)
Source: RNAcentral